AUGUCCCAAGAAACAAUGGAACAGAGGAUGGAAAACAACAGUGACAUCCACCUUUGUGCCAGGCAUAGUGCCAGUACUCCCGAGCCACACAGGCACCUGUUUCCAACCUCGCAUUCGUGCUUGUCACCAUGCGUAACGAAACAUUUGAGCUAUGAAAGCUUAAAAGUAUAUGAAGAAACAAUUAUGUGUGUUAUGAAACUGUUCAGCAGUAUGGAUCGGGGCCAGCUCUAUCCAUUCCCAGAUGUAAUGGACGUAAUUAUGAUUUGUUUUUUGUUGUUUAAAAAAUUGAAAAGAAGCAAAACCCUGGUGACAAGAAACGACAAAGCCAACAAAAUCUGA
RNAcentral lists this long non-coding RNA (339 nucleotides) under Numida meleagris (helmeted guineafowl). RNAcentral's name for it is "lncRNA (ENSNMEG00000017891.1)". The record is from RNAcentral. Lineage: Eukaryota; Metazoa; Chordata; Aves; Galliformes; Numididae.